RNAcentral lists this ribosomal RNA (381 nucleotides) under uncultured crenarchaeote. Its description in RNAcentral is "bacterial SSU rRNA". It matches the Rfam family "Archaeal small subunit ribosomal RNA", at positions 471 to 851 of the family's 1478-position model. Lineage: Archaea; Thermoproteati; Thermoproteota. The record is from RNAcentral.
UAAAACCAGCACCUCAAGUGGUCAGGAUGAUUAUUGGGCCUAAAGCAUCCGUAGCCUGCUUUGUAAGUUUUCGGUUAAAUCCAUGUGCUCAACGCAUGGGCUGCCGAAAAUACUGCAUAGCUAGGGAGUGGGAGAGGUAGACGGUACUCAGUAGGUAGGGGUAAAAUCCUUUGAUCUAUUGAUGACCACCUGUGGCGAAGGCGGUCUACCAGAACACGUUCGACGGUGAGGGAUGAAAGCUGGGGGAGCAAACCGGAUUAGAUACCCGGGUAGUCCCAGCUGUAAACGAUGCAGACUCGAUGAUGCAUUGGCAUAAUAGCCAUUGCAGUGUCGCAGGGAAGCCGUUAAGUCUGCCGCCUGGGAAGUACGUACGCAAGUAUG